This 305-nucleotide ribosomal RNA is filed under the name uncultured bacterium. RNAcentral's name for it is "bacterial SSU rRNA". It matches the Rfam family "Bacterial small subunit ribosomal RNA", at positions 335 to 639 of the family's 1533-position model. The record is from RNAcentral.
GGCCUACGGGGGGCAGCAGUGAGGAAUAUUGGUCAAUGGUCGGGAGACUGAACCAGCCAAGCCGCGUGAGGGAGGAAGGUACAGAGUAUCGUAAACCUCUUUUGUCAGGGAACAAAGACUGGGACGCGUCCCCGGAUGAGUGUACCUGAAGAAAAAGCAUCGGCUAACUCCGUGCCAGCAGCCGCGGUAAUACGGAGGAUGCGAGCGUUAUCCGGAUUUAUUGGGUUUAAAGGGUGCGCAGGCGGAAGAUCAAGCCAGCGGUAAAAUUGAGAGGCUCAACCUCUUCGAGCCGUUGAAACUGGCUU